CUUGGCACACGUGCUCGUGGAAACCGUAUCCGGUACACUUCUUGCAACGAGGGUGGCACUUCCGACAGACUGCCUUUCCUGCCAGAGGCUUCAAGGCUCCUAGCUCUUGAGGACUCACCCACUCGUAGCUGCAACCCUUUGACUGGGAAGAACGUAUGAGGAAUUAGGCUGUUUACAAAUUAGACUUUAUAUACGAAUUUCGACUUCAUUUUUACGAAAAAUUUUUAGAGCUUUCUGAAUAGAUCGAGUCACUCACCAUCUGGACAGGGUUCCCCUUUCUGCAAACAUCCUUCAGGUACGCUCCCGUUCAUGAUCGCCUUAUCGCAGCUGUGACAUCCAUUAGG
Molecule: long non-coding RNA, 344 nt
Organism: Hylaeus anthracinus
Lineage: Eukaryota; Metazoa; Arthropoda; Insecta; Hymenoptera; Colletidae
Exons: 3
Source: RefSeq, a predicted model, not a curated record